AACUUUCAACAAUGGAUCUCUUGGCUCUCGCAUCGAUGAAGAACGCAGCGAAAUGCGAUACGUAAUGUGAAUUGCAGAAUUCAGUGAAUCAUCGAAUCUUUGAACGCACCUUGCGCCCCUUGGUAUUCCGAGGGGCACACCCGUUUGAGUGUCGUGAAAAUCUCAACCUUCUCGGUUUCUUCUGGACACCGAAGGAGGCUUGGACUUUGGAGGCCUUUGCUGGCGUCUCUCGCCAGCUCCUCUCAAAUGAAUUAGUAGGGUCCUCUUUGCCGAUCCUCGACGUGUGAUAAGAUGUUUCCAUGUCUUGGUUUAUGGCUCUGUUGCUUUUGGGACCCGCUUCUAACCGUCUCAACGAGACAACGUUCGAGCGUGUCGAACACUCUUGAACCCACGAACCCUUGACCUCAAAUCGGGUGAGACUACCCGCUGAACUUAAGCAUAUCAAUAAGCGGAGGCU
This 457-nucleotide unclassified non-coding RNA is filed under the name uncultured Lactarius. Its description in RNAcentral is "sequence contains ITS2". The stretch from base 1 to 154 matches the Rfam family "5.8S ribosomal RNA". Lineage: Eukaryota; Fungi; Basidiomycota; Agaricomycetes; Russulales; Russulaceae. The record is from RNAcentral.